Molecule: ribosomal RNA, 700 nt
Filed under: uncultured archaeon
Lineage: Archaea
Description: bacterial SSU rRNA
Rfam family: Archaeal small subunit ribosomal RNA
Source: RNAcentral
GCCAUGCCGAGUCGAGAGGGUUCGGCCCUCGGCUGACGGCUCAGUAACACGUGNGANAAUCUGCCCUAAGGUGGAGGAUAACCUCGGGAAACUGAGAAUAAUACUCCAUAGGUCUAGGAUGCUGGAAUGCACUUAGGCUCAAAACUUCGGUGCCCUAGGAUGAGUCUGCGGACUAUCAGGUUGUAGUCAGGGUAAAGACCUGACUAGCCUACGACGGAUACGGGUUGUGAGAGCAAUAACCCGGAGAUGAUAUCUGAGACACGAUAUCAGGCCCUACGGGGCGCAGCAGGCGCGAAAACUUCGCACUGCGCGAAAGCGCGACGAGGGAAUCCCAAGUGUAUGCACGUAAGUGUAUACUGUUUUUCUGUCUAAAAAGCAGAGAGAGUAAGAGCUGGGUAAGACGGGUGCCAGCCGCCGCGGUAAUACCUGCAGCUCGAGUGGUGAUCGUUAUUAUUGGGCCUAAAACGUCCGUAGCCGGUCUUGUAAAUGCCUGGGUAAAUCGUAUGGCUUAACCAUACNAAUUCUGGGUAGACUGUUAGACUUGAGACCGGGAGAAGCUAGAGGUACUCCUGGGGUAGAGGUGAAAUUCUGUAAUCCUAGGGGGACCANCAGUGGCGAAGGCGUCUAGCUAGAACGGGUCUGACGGUGAGGGACGAAGCNCUGGGGCGCAAACGGGAUUAGAUACCCCNGUAGUCCAGGG